RNAcentral lists this long non-coding RNA (780 nucleotides) under Glycine max (soybean). Its description in RNAcentral is "long non-coding RNA (GMAX_LNC002535)". The record is from RNAcentral. Lineage: Eukaryota; Viridiplantae; Streptophyta; Magnoliopsida; Fabales; Fabaceae.
CCAAAUGACAACAACAAAGAUGUCAUAGUGGAAAUUCUCCAAAAAAACAAACCAUCAUAACACUUGUUGAAGUUCCAAUUAGCAUACACAUAAAAAAAAUAUAAGAACAAUAAAUAUUAUCACUUCUUCUUGUUUUCCCUUUGUGGCAUCCCUGGUCUGAGAAUGAAGCUCAUGAAGUUAGGUUUUAUCAUCCUUGGUGAAGGUCCAGCUAGGAAUGGUAUCCUGAUAGGUGCAGUAGGCCUAGUUAGAAGAGGCCUAAAUGUAGGUGUUGGCUGAACAGACACGAAAUUUGGUUCCUGCAACUAAUGAAUUUAAUGACAAUAAUUAGUGUAGGUCAUGCAUGCUACAAUAUGCAAAGAAUAAGGGAUUUAACUCAACUUGUGGUAGAAGACUUGUUUGCACUGUUAUAGGCUUAGGUUGACCUCCAGAGUCAACCAUUGACACUGUUGGAGGUUGUUCUGCAGUGGAUGCAAAUUGAGAACAAUCAAUCUCAUCCUAUAAGAGUUAAAGACAAAUAUAAGUAAAGCUCCAACAUGCAUAAUAUAACAAUAACAAAAACAAAAAACAAAAUUUAUUUUUACAACUUGUUAAGAUUGGGUGUUAUCAGACUCUUCAAGUGGUGGUGGUUGCCAAUUUUUGGGUCUUGGUGGAAUACCACCAUUUGUACAUCCCCUACAGUUGUGACCAGAAAGAUUACAUCUUUUGUCAGUGGUUUUCUUGUAAGUUCUUUCGAGUCUACUACUGUUGACUUGACCUUUAUUCUAAUCCCUUCUAGAUUUC